RNAcentral lists this ribosomal RNA (1004 nucleotides) under Klebsiella sp. Its description in RNAcentral is "bacterial SSU rRNA". It matches the Rfam family "Bacterial small subunit ribosomal RNA", at positions 89 to 1089 of the family's 1533-position model. Lineage: Bacteria; Pseudomonadati; Pseudomonadota; Gammaproteobacteria; Enterobacterales; Enterobacteriaceae. The record is from RNAcentral.
UGACGAGCGGCGGACGGGUGAGUAAUGUCUGGGAAACUGCCUGAUGGAGGGGGAUAACUACUGGAAACGGUAGCUAAUACCGCAUAACGUCGCAAGACCAAAGUGGGGGACCUUCGGGCCUCAUGCCAUCAGAUGUGCCCAGAUGGGAUUAGCUAGUAGGUGGGGUAACGGCUCACCUAGGCGACGAUCCCUAGCUGGUCUGAGAGGAUGACCAGCCACACUGGAACUGAGACACGGUCCAGACUCCUACGGGAGGCAGCAGUGGGGAAUAUUGCACAAUGGGCGCAAGCCUGAUGCAGCCAUGCCGCGUGUGUGAAGAAGGCCUUCGGGUUGUAAAGCACUUUCAGCGGGGAGGAAGGCGAUAAGGUUAAUAACCUUGUCGAUUGACGUUACCCGCAGAAGAAGCACCGGCUAACUCCGUGCCAGCAGCCGCGGUAAUACGGAGGGUGCAAGCGUUAAUCGGAAUUACUGGGCGUAAAGCGCACGCAGGCGGUCUGUCAAGUCGGAUGUGAAAUCCCCGGGCUCAACCUGGGAACUGCAUUCGAAACUGGCAGGCUAGAGUCUUGUAGAGGGGGGUAGAAUUCCAGGUGUAGCGGUGAAAUGCGUAGAGAUCUGGAGGAAUACCGGUGGCGAAGGCGGCCCCCUGGACAAAGACUGACGCUCAGGUGCGAAAGCGUGGGGAGCAAACAGGAUUAGAUACCCUGGUAGUCCACGCCGUAAACGAUGUCGAUUUGGAGGUUGUGCCCUUGAGGCGUGGCUUCCGGAGCUAACGCGUUAAAUCGACCGCCUGGGGAGUACGGCCGCAAGGUUAAAACUCAAAUGAAUUGACGGGGGCCCGCACAAGCGGUGGAGCAUGUGGUUUAAUUCGAUGCAACGCGAAGAACCUUACCUGGUCUUGACAUCCACAGAACUUAGCAGAGAUGGUUUGGUGCCUUCGGGAACUGUGAGACAGGUGCUGCAUGGCUGUCGUCAGCUCGUGUUGUGAAAUGUUGGGUUAAGUCCCG